CAUUUUAGAAACAAUUACAAAAUAUUACAUUGAAUUCUUAAAGCUUGCCCGCGUAAUUAACGAGGUGUGGGCUCCGCCGAUAAGUUACAGGCAUAACUUAGAAAAAGAUAACGUUGAACCGAACGAGAGGGGGCAGACGUGCAGCAUGUUCAUCAGAUGUUAAAUAAUGACCCAUGGACACUUACUAUGCUAGAAGGCUCGAGAGUACGAUGCCGGUCUUUUAAAAAUUGGAUUACUAUUUUCAAUAGGAAUCUCAGGAGCAGCCAGUCAGUGUUACAUUUGUAUCACGUAGACGUACAUAGAUAAAUAGAUACUUAUUCUAUGUUCUAUGAUGUUCUACGUCAUCAUCUUCUACUCUCGCCUACUCCUAACUAUUCAGUAUAACGCGUCUGAAAGGUAUGCUUGCGUCAUCAGGCCGUUAAAAGGAAUUAACAUUAUUACUUCUGCAUGUUAAAUGUCAAUCCACGCGCGCAAUGUGGUCAAAGUGCUCCUCAAGUAUAAUUUAUGACGUAACACCAUGACCUAAUCAAUAAUUACGAUAGAUGCAGAACGAAUUAGUUCCUGCCUUACUCAAUGGUGCUCAUACAAUAAGGGGUCAUCCCACAAUACAGAUCGACACCAAUUCAUCGAUAGUUAAAAAAAUAUCGAUUUCCGUAAAUAAGUGUAGAACAUUUAUAAUAAUGAUGAAUAGGCCGGUCGAUUGCGCAUCGAAUCGGACAGCCGAUGCGAUCACUGAUCGGUAAUUGAAAAGGAAUCCAAUAAAUAAUAUAAACUAGA
Long non-coding RNA from Pieris brassicae (large cabbage white), 777 nucleotides. RefSeq lists it as uncharacterized. Lineage: Eukaryota; Metazoa; Arthropoda; Insecta; Lepidoptera; Pieridae. The record is from RefSeq and is a predicted model, not a curated record. The transcript is spliced from 2 exons.